RNAcentral lists this long non-coding RNA (1488 nucleotides) under Brassica napus (rape). RNAcentral's name for it is "long non-coding RNA (BNAP_LNC016825)". Lineage: Eukaryota; Viridiplantae; Streptophyta; Magnoliopsida; Brassicales; Brassicaceae. The record is from RNAcentral.
ACACCGAUGCGGCGCCGUAUCUAGGCCUCGGAUCCGUCUCUCUUACCGUUUUCUUAGACGGAAUAACUGCGAUAACACCAGCGUCAACGUCAUCUCUCGUAACCUCCACAUCAAGUAAUACACUCUCGCCCGCUUCUGAAUCAGGUGAGCUCUGAGAAGGUGGUGAUGCACAGUUCAUAAUAUCGUUCUCCUGUUUAUUACGAUUAUGAACCACCUCUUUAUCUUCCACCGCCGCAGCCGCAGUCUGAUGCAUCUCUGACGGAGAUAUCCUGCAUCGGUGAACGCCGAUCCUCCUCCUCCGGCUAGACCACGACGCUUCGUCCUCGUAACAAAUAUCCGUCAUCACAGAAUCAAUAGAAAAAAAUAACUCUCGGAUCGUCUUCGCACUAGAUUGUUGAUCGUCAAAUAUUAAUUUCCGAGAAAAAAAUGAAAAAUCUCUCUAAGAUAGUUUUCUUUUUAUUACAGAAAUCGAAUGGUUGUGUUGUGUAAAUUGUGUUAAGAUAGCAUGCAAUUGAUUGAAUAAAUAUCAUCGUUACACGUUACAAGGUAGGGGUCAUUUAUACACCCACGCGCCUACCGCUUCAUAAAUAUUUUAAAAUUCUUUUUUCAAAUUUCACUUUUUAACUUUGAUUUUUCUCCCCAUCUGCCUUCAAAAAAUCUUUACUCUAGCGACGUGACGUAUCGGUCUUGUGCCUAAAUAGAUUAAUCUUGACCGUUGAUCUUGUCACUACGCUGCUUAAAAUACACCACGUAAGCAUCAGUGUCAGGUAUGAGAUAUACGUGGUCCAAUGAGAAUGGAACAGAGCGGAAAGAGGAAGUUCCUUUCGCGCCACGAUCGUGGUCCACUAUUUUCUUUCUCUCUCGAAGACCUUAUUUUUCUUUUCUUCUUGUCCGAAUUGUCUCUGUGUGUCUCCCUAAAGAUGAAGGGUUUAAUCAACAAAAUGCUACUGUUUUCGAAAGUAAAAUUUUCUAGAAUUUACGUACUUAUUAAAAAAUUAAUAAAUAUUUAUAAUUUAUACCGUUUUCUUAGACGGAAUAACUGCGAUAACACCAGCGUCAACGUCAUCUCUCGUAACCUCCACAUCAAGUAAUACACUCUCGCCCGCUUCUGAAUCAGGUGAGCUCUGAGAAGGUGGUGAUGCACAGUUCAUAAUAUCGUUCUCCUGUUUAUUACGAUUAUGAACCACCUCUUUAUCUUCCACCGCCGCAGCCGCAGUCUGAUGCAUCUCUGACGGAGAUAUCCUGCAUCGGUGAACGCCGAUCCUCCUCCUCCGGCUAGACCACGACGCUUCGUCCUCGUAACAAAUAUCCGUCAUCACAGAAUCAAUAGAAAAAAAUAACUCUCGGAUCGUCUUCGCACUAGAUUGUUGAUCGUCAAAUAUUAAUUUCCGAGAAAAAAAUGAAAAAUCUCUCUAAGAUAGUUUUCUUUUUAUUACAGAAAUCGAAUGGUUGUGUUGUGUAAAUUGUGUUAAGAUAGCAUGCAAUUGA